AUGUGACCAGUCACCCAAAUUUCCCCUGCGAGGACUCGUGUUCCUGACAGGUCAGGCCGUUGUCCUUUGGCUGGCUCAGCCACUUUGACUUCCAAUGGAGCGGCCGGAGAAGAGCCGAGGCUCUUGUCUUGUCCCCCCACCGAUUCCAUCACCAAACGGUGGCAGGUGGACGGGCAUGAUCAGUGAGGUCCCCGCUCCGUAGCGUCCUCGCGCCGGCCGGCGGCCAUGGAGGGUCACCACCACGGAGGCGCCGUGGAAGGAGGAGGUGAGGUCGAGAAGAGCUCGGCGCUGGGCGAGGUCAAGAGGCAGCUGCGCCUCGCCGCGCCGCUCGCCGCCGGGCUCCUCCUGCAGAAGGUCAUCCAGACCAUCUCGAUCAUGUUCGUCGGCCGCCUCGGCGAGCUCCCGCUCGCCAGCGCCUCCCUGGCCACCUCCUUCGCCAACGUCACGGGCUUCAGCUUGCUGUCAGGCAUGGCGAGCAGCCUGGACACGCUGUGCGGCCAGGCCUUCGGCGCGGGCCAGCGCCACCUGCUCGGCGUCUACAAGCAGCGCGCCAUGCUGGUGCUGGCCGUGGCGAGCGCCCCCGUGGCGGCGGUGUGGGCCUACACCGGCGAGAUCCUCGUGUGGUUCCGGCAGGACCGGGAGAUCGCCGCGGGGGCCGGCAGCUACAUCCGGUGCAUGCUCCCGGCGCUGUUCCUGUUCGGGCAGCUGCAGUGCCACGUCCGCUUCCUGCAGCCGCAGAACGUCGUCGUGCCGGUGAUGGCGAGCUCCGCCGCCACCGCCGGGGCGCACGUCGCCGUCUGCUGGCUGCUGGUGCGCCACCUGGGCAUGGGCGCCAACGGCGCCGCGCUGGCAAAUGCCGUCUCCAACCUCGUCAACCUGACGGCCCUGGUCAUCUACGUCAGGGUCUCGCCGGCCUGCAAGGACACCUGGACGGGGUUCUCCCGCGAGGCGUUCCGCGGCAUCCCCGCCUUGCUCAAGCUCGCCGUCCCGUCAGCUGCCAUGGUCUGUAUGGAGUGGUGGUCCUUCGAGAUCCUUGUGCUUCUUUCAGGUCUUCUCCCCAACCCAAAGCUCGAGACUGCCGUGAUGUCCAUCUGCUUCAACACCUAUGUGUUUGCAUUCAUGCUCCCGAUGGGACUUGGUUCUGCAGCAAGCAUUCGUGUUUCGAACGAGCUUGGUGCAGGACGGCCGCAGGCGGCGCGCCUCGCGACGCGUGUGGUCAUUCUCCUGGCGAUCUCCCUGGGCGUUUGUGAAGGUCUCGUCAUGGUCCUGGCCCGCAAUCUUCUGGGAUAUGCCUACAGCAAUGAGGACGAAGUGGCCUCGUACACCGCUAAGCUGACGCCGAUCCUCGCGGUGUGCACCUUAUUUGACAGUCUGCAGUGUGUUCUUUCAGAAACAGGAAAACAGAUGAUUUCUUAAAUAAAAAGAGAAAUAGAAAAAUUCAGAUAUUUGGACAUUGAGCAUUUCAGUAGUGGAUGCCCACAUGAACGUGGAAACUAAGUGCGAUGGGAGAAGAAGAUUUCCACACAUUUGGACAUUCGGCAUUUGAGCUCAUGCCUUUUGCCAGUUCCUCAAAAUGAUGGCAGUUCCAGACUUCCAGUAGUAAAUGGACAGUUUUUAUUUUUGCUAAAAUUAACAUGUAGGUAGUUUUUAGUUUUUGGUGUCAUGGAACCAGGUGAUGGUUUACGUAGGUAGGCUAUGUACUUGAUGUGCAGGUGUUGUUAGAGGCUGUGGCCGGCAAAAGAUUGGUGCCUUUAUCAACCUUUCUGCAUUCUACAUUGUUGGCAUCCCUGCAGCAUCCAUAUUCGCCUUUGUCUGUCAUCUCAGAGGAAUGGGACUCUGGCUUGGUAUCUUGUGUGGAGUAGCAGUGCAGAUGCUCUUGCUUCUCUGCAUCACCUUGUGCACCAACUGGAACAAAGAAGCGCUGAAGGCCAAUGACAGAGUUUUCAGUUCGUCUCUUCCUGUCGGCAACACGUUAACAUCAGGUGGUAGCGAGCAUCCAAAUGGAUGCAGUUUUGUUGGUAAGGAUGCGCAAGGGACCAUUCAGGGGACAAAGGGUUCUACCACUCCGAGCACAGGUUGAUGGCAUCAUGUACUUGCUGCUUUGCCUUCGGUUAGAAGCUUUCUUCAUCCUUGUGUCUAAGAAAAAAAAUGCACUUAGGAAUCUGUAGCAGAGGACUGAAGAUGUAUUCAAUUGGUUUUAGAAGUCUGCACUCUCGGUAAGCAAAAAUUCAGGUUUAAAAAUGCGUUGCAAAUGCUGACGAGCGUUAGUAAGACA
Panicum virgatum (switchgrass) is the source of this 2275-nucleotide RNA transcript. It is a transcript of the gene named protein DETOXIFICATION 16-like, with no coding region annotated. The transcript is spliced from 8 exons. The record is from RefSeq and is a predicted model, not a curated record. Lineage: Eukaryota; Viridiplantae; Streptophyta; Magnoliopsida; Poales; Poaceae.